RNAcentral lists this unclassified non-coding RNA (311 nucleotides) under fungal sp. RNAcentral's name for it is "partial internal transcribed spacer region". The stretch from base 1 to 46 matches the Rfam family "Eukaryotic small subunit ribosomal RNA", at positions 1786 to 1831 of the family's 1831-position model. Lineage: Eukaryota; Fungi. The record is from RNAcentral.
AAGUCGUAACAAGGUUUUCGUAGGUGAACCUGCGGAAGGAUCAUUAAAUUAAUAUUUUUUAAUCUAAUAAAAAACUUUUUUGAUUUUAGUUUUUUUUAUCACUGGGACUUUCUUUUCUCUCGCGGCUUUAGUUGAGGGACGAAAUGAAAAAAACGGUUUUAAAUAAAACAAAUCCCAAUCUUUUUAUUUUUUUUUUGGGGGCCACCUUUAACCAUUAUUUUAAACCAUUUAGUGCUUAUAAACACAUUCUAAAUUUAAUUUUUUAGUCUUAACUAUAAAAAUAACUUUCAACAACGGAUCUCUAGGCUCUU